AGUGAACGCUGGCGGUAGGCCUAACACAUGCAAGUCGAACGGCAGCACAGUAAGAGCUUGCUCUUACGGGUGGCGAGUGGCGGACGGGUGAGGAAUACAUCGGAAUCUACUUUUUCGUGGGGGAUAACGUAGGGAAACUUACGCUAAUACCGCAUACGACUUACGGGUGAAAGCAGGGGAUUUUCGGACCUUGCGCGAUUGAAUGAGCCGAUGUCGGAUUAGCUAGUUGGCGGGGUAAAGGCCCACCAAGGCGACGAUCCGUAGCUGGUCUGAGAGGAUGAUCAGCCACACUGGAACUGAGACACGGUCCAGACUCCUACGGGAGGCAGCAGUGGGGAAUAUUGGACAAUGGGCGCAAGCCUGAUCCAGCCAUACCGCGUGGGUGAAGAAGGCCUUCGGGUUGUAAAGCCCUUUUGUUGGGAAAGAAAAGCAGCAGGUUAAUACCCCGCUGUUCUGACGGUACCCAAAGAAUAAGCACCGGCUAACUUCGUG
This 492-nucleotide ribosomal RNA is filed under the name uncultured bacterium. RNAcentral's name for it is "partial 16S ribosomal RNA". It matches the Rfam family "Bacterial small subunit ribosomal RNA", at positions 29 to 507 of the family's 1533-position model. The record is from RNAcentral.